AUGAACGCUGGCGGCGUGCCUAAUACAUGCAAGUAGAACGCUGAAGGAAGGAGCUUGCUCUUUCCGGAUGAGUUGCGAACGGGUGAGUAACGCGUAGGUAACCUGCCUGGUAGCGGGGGAUAACUAUUGGAAACGAUAGCUAAUACCGCAUAACAGUAGAUGUUGCAUGAUAUCUACUUAAAAGGUGCAAUUGCACCACUACCAGAUGGACCUGCGUUGUAUUAGCUAGUUGGUGAGGUAACGGCUCACCAGGGCGACGAUACAUAGCCGACCUGAGAGGGUGAUCGGCCACACUGGGACUGAGACACGGCCCAGACUCCUACGGGAGGCAGCAGUAGGGAAUCUUCGGCAAUGGACGGAAGUCUGACCGAGCAACGCCGCGUGAGGGAAGAAGGUUUUCGGAUCGUAAAGCUCUGUUGUAAGAGAAGAACGAGUGUGAGAGUGGAAAGUUCACACUGUGACGGUAUCUUACCAGAAAGGGACGGCUAACUACGUG
RNAcentral lists this ribosomal RNA (496 nucleotides) under uncultured bacterium. RNAcentral describes it as "partial 16S ribosomal RNA". It matches the Rfam family "Bacterial small subunit ribosomal RNA", at positions 29 to 507 of the family's 1533-position model. The record is from RNAcentral.